This 615-nucleotide ribosomal RNA is filed under the name uncultured bacterium. RNAcentral describes it as "bacterial SSU rRNA". It matches the Rfam family "Bacterial small subunit ribosomal RNA", at positions 65 to 691 of the family's 1533-position model. The record is from RNAcentral.
AACGGGCUUAAACUGAAACCUAGUGAAGUUUAAGUUAGUGGCGGACGGGUGAGUAACGCGUGGAUAACCUGCCGUAUGCAGGGGGAUACCAACUGGAAACAGUUGCUAAUACCGCAUAAGCGCACAGCACCGCAUGGUGCAGUGUGAAAAGAUUUAUCGGCAUACGAUGGAUCCGCGUCCGAUUAGCCAGUUGGCGGGGUAGAAGCCCACCAAAGCGACGAUCGGUAGCCGGCCUGAGAGGGCGGACGGCCACAUUGGGACUGAGACACGGCCCAAACUCCUACGGGAGGCAGCAGUGGGGAAUAUUGCACAAUGGGGGGAACCCUGAUGCAGCGACGCCGCGUGGGUGAAGGAGUACUUCGGUACGUAAAGCCCUAUCAGCAGGAAAGAAAAUGACGGUACCUGACUAAGAAGCCCCGGCUAACUACGUGCCAGCAGCCGCGGUAAUACGUAGGGGGCAAGCGUUAUCCGGAUUUACUGGGUGUAAAGGGAGCGUAGACGGCAGUGCAAGUCCGGAGUGAAAGCCCGGGGCUCAACCCUGGGACUGCUCUGGAAACUGUAAAGCUGGAGUGCGGGAGGGGCAGGCGGAAUUCCUGGUGUAGCGGUGAAAUGCGU